RNAcentral lists this non-coding RNA (113 nucleotides) under Pedobacter sp. RNAcentral's name for it is "SAM-I sequence". It matches the Rfam family "SAM riboswitch aptamer (S box leader)". Rfam says of the family: The SAM riboswitch is found upstream of a number of genes which code for proteins involved in methionine or cysteine biosynthesis in Gram-positive bacteria. The SAM riboswitch acts at the level of transcription termination control. RNAcentral also lists the same sequence under 1 other name. Lineage: Bacteria; Pseudomonadati; Bacteroidota; Sphingobacteriia; Sphingobacteriales; Sphingobacteriaceae. The record is from RNAcentral.
GAUUUAUAAAGAAGUGGCGAGAGACAGGCUCAUUGACCCACUGGCAACCCUCCCUAACGGAGAAGGUGCCAAUUCCUGACCAGAUAACAUGGUGUUGUUUGGAAAUAUAAAUU